Columba livia (rock pigeon) is the source of this 3561-nucleotide long non-coding RNA. RefSeq lists it as uncharacterized. The record is from RefSeq and is a predicted model, not a curated record. Lineage: Eukaryota; Metazoa; Chordata; Aves; Columbiformes; Columbidae. The transcript is spliced from 7 exons.
CUCCUGCUCUGCGAGACACGCAAGAACCGGCACCCACCGGGAGGGGUGGCGGUGCCGCCGCGCGGUCCCGUCCCGCCCCGCCCCGCCCCGCUCCCGGUGCGGAUUUGAAUUCAACCCUUUGAGCCGCCGAGGCAAAGAGCUGUGAAGAAAGUUUUCCGAAGCGUGAAGAUAACUGGAGACUCUGCCUCUUGCAGGAGCCGUGUUGAGCACUUGGGCUCACUAGAGCUGAAAGUUUUGCUUAGGGAAUGACCUUCUGUGAUGGGCUAAGUCCAGCUUUUCCAGAGGAACUCGGCACCACGUUCCCUGUAUCCAGCCUCACUUGGAAUUGAAGAAAUCCAUGGAAAAUUAGAAAAGCCAGCACCACUGCUGUUUUUUAUUUCAUUUCUCAAUAGCUGGAUUUCAUAUGAAAACACGACUAACGACAGACACUAUCAGGAUGCAGAAAGCUGUGUUCACAGUAAUGAUAACCGGUCAGCAUUAGAAAAUCCAAAAGAAUACUGUGUAUCAGAAGUGGGGAUCCAAAUGCCACGGUUCAGGCUCAUCUGUAUUGAUGGGAACCACCUUCUGUGUCCUACCAUCGACAUUGGUUUCUCUAAAGGAUAUUUUAUAUUUCCGUAGGAUGAUCCAUGUUAGAGUGACCUCGGGACUCCAAUCUUCUGCUCGAAUCAAGGUCAGCUAUAGGAUCAGACCAGGUUUCUUAGGGUUUUGUCCAGUCAAGGAAUAUCUUAGCCUGCCAACUUUUAUCUGGAGCUGCUAGAUCACCCAUGAACCCCCCUGCUUCUGUUUCUGUUACAAUCUAAAACCUAUGGAACCUUUUGGCAAUAAUACUGAAAUUAAUACCCCCAAAUCCAAAACACCCUUCACAAAAACUCAUGUAGAUAUUACUAUUGGGACACAAGGAAUUUUUUUUUCCAUCUCGACAAUUUAUCUCUGUAGCCACAAGAUUGUCUAUGGACCUUGCCAGUAACUUCUUUUUGCCUGCGAGGAAAAUCAGAGAGAGCGUAAGAACUGUUAACAAGGCUGUGGGAGAUAAGCCAACUGACAAACAGGAUGGAGAACUCUAUCAGUGGGCAAGAACCCCCACCAAACCUGUAUUCAAAGCUCACAACAUUUGUGAUGUCCAGAUCGCCUGUGACAGAGCAGCCGGUCAUGUUUUUAAAAUGAUACCAUUUUGGUGUCUCUCAUCAUCCCGCUGGAGUUCAUGUGAACCUUUCUGACAAAUGCUGAUUUGUUGCAGAAUUAGUCCUUUCUGGGGCUGCUGUGCCAUCAUCCUGCUCUUCCAGUUCAGCCGUUCAAAGUCGGUAGGAAACUCUCAUGACCUCUUUAUUUGCAGACAGAGCAGAUAUCUACAAGCCAAUUGUGGAGAGCAGCUAGUUUGAAUCUAUAUUUAAAUACUCAAAGAAGCAUAUGUUUAUUCAGAUUUCUCUUUAAAGUUCAGGCUCUGAAAGUUGCUCCUAUAUUACAUAUGCAUGUGUUGAUAUAAUCUGGAAUUUUGAGUUGAUUGUAAUAUUGCUACUAGAUAUUAGACUAGAGUUGUUUUACCACCACUUCUUCCUCAAAGGAGAGUUAAUCAUCGACUUAACUAGAAUGCUAAUACGAAUGAUUGCGUUGUUAUGCAUUUGUUGUUUUAUUUAAUUUUUCAGCCUUCUAGGUCCCUUUUGAAAACAAGCUUAGCCAACCAAACUUAACAAGCUUUUACUUGAGUUUGUAUAGAUGUUAAGUAAACAAAAUAUUUUUGCUGCUAAUGCUUGCGGUAUUCAGCUUCAUUAAACAUGUUUAUAUGCAGCCUGUAACCUUUCUCAGCAUAUACAGCUAGCUUGGAAGACAGAUUCUGUUCAGAUAAAAGAAGACGACACGGAAAAUGUAUUUUGGAGAACUUGUUUGAAUGUAGAUCUCCCGAGACGCUCUCAAGGUGACUCGUUCAAGCCAAAGGCCUCAGAUCUUGAAAACUGCAAGGGGUGUAACAGGUCAGGUUGGCUUUUCUUAGAUGGACUUUCCACUGAAUAUCAAUUAAUAAGCAUUUUGCACUGUGAAGUUGUCUGUGGUUCACAAUGUCUCUACAGCUGAGUAGGAGUCCCAGUUACACAGCAGCUGCAGGCUGAGGGUUCGUACACCCCACUUCCCCCCAAAAAAGGGUUUUGUUUCCAAUUAGGUGUCCAGGCUCACGGGGGCAAGGAGACGCCAACAGCAGAGAGCAUGUCAAGAAUGCCACCACAUCUGGCAGAUGUGCAGGGAAGACCCCGGGAAUGCAAACAACUGAGGUCUGCUCUUAGCAAGGAUCAAACACAUGCUUCUUCCUACCUCUGUUUUAUCCUAAAGCACAUCAUACCAAGAUUUUCAUGCCAUUAUGCAAAGCUGGAACACAUCGACGGGAUGAGAACCCACAGGAAGGGAACAGCUUGUGGUGAAGAUGCUGAUGUUAGUCGGGAGACCUGAUUUUGGCAAGUUCCUCCCAUCGGCUCCAUUCUGUUUCUGAAAUAGAGAUUAAAAUAUUGUCUGGUUGUGGUGUUUCAUCGUUUAUUUGUUUUUGGUUUUGCUUUUUCCUCGCCUUUAUGUGUCUAGAUGGUAGGCAUUUAAUCAAUAACAAUAUGCCUUAUCCUUUUUUGAUUUAUAAAACGCUGAAUGUCUCUCUAAUCUGAGCUAGAGACCAACAUGUAUUUGCAGAUGACCUUUAACUGCAAAGAGUAGAUCUCUGUCCCUGCCUUUCAGCUGAGGAGUGUGAAUCCAGUAAUGCAAAUGUUCAGGUUCUCGACAAGCAAAUGAAGCAAAGAGGCGGCUGUGCACCCGUCUUUUCGAAGCUUAAAGCAUCACACGUGCACAGGAAAAAGAAAUGAAAAAGGUUGCCUGUCUGUAGCUCUCUACAGUCGAGCGUUCUUUCAAAGGGAAAAUCCAUCACUUUGAAGAAUUUACAGAAGAAAACCUCCACAGCAACCAAAGCUGCAGGCAAGCGAGUGAGAGGCAAAACGCAACUGCUGGGAAAAAUAAGUAAGGGCCUUUACAGCAGUCCCAUUGAAUUGCAAUUUUCCUUUAUCACAGACUAGGCUGUUAUAAUCUUCUUUUCUACCUCUAGCCACGUAUUCUAAAAGAUUUUCUAAAUGUAAAGAUGUACUGUAGAAGCGAAGUUUCUUACUGAUGAAUCUUCUGUACCAAAACACCACCUUAAUUUGCCAAAGAGCGUCAUUUCUCAUUCCCGUUGUCUGUGUGUGAGACGUGGAUCAGAUGUGAUAAAAUGCAGGGGGGUGAUGGAAACGUUAUUUUCCACGGGUGCUGAUGUUCAGCAAGCGCACCCAGUGCCGCCAAAGGCUUCGAGCACGGAUGAGACCGAGUCCUGCGAGACACCGUGUCCCCAAAGGUCCCACAGCAGCCCAGGGGGUCCUGGCAACUUGUUUUUCCAGGCAACCUGAUUUCCUAGGCUGCUUUUUACAGAGGCAGCGCACUUCAACAUUUACAUUAAAGAAAUGAGAUGGAAAUAUUGUUUGCCGGUGCUCAGUGUUUGCAGACGGCCUGAACACUGGGCUGAAAGUCAACAGCCUUGAGAAUAAAGCUAAAAGCAAGGUGAAA